CAGCCGCCGCGGGAAUACGAAGGGGGCUAGCGUUGUUCGGAAUUACUGGGCGUAAAGCGCACGUAGGCGGAUACUUAAGUCAGGGGUGAAAUCCCGGGGCUCAACCCCGGAACUGCCUUUGAUACUGGGUAUCUCGAGUCCGGAAGAGGUGAGUGGAAUUCCGAGUGUAGAGGUGAAAUUCGUAGAUAUUCGGAGGAACACCAGUGGCGAAGGCGACUGACUGGACAAGUAUUGACGCUGAGGUGCGAAAGCGUGGGGAGCAAACAGGAUUAGAUACCCCUGUAGUCCCUGUCUCUUAUAC
RNAcentral lists this ribosomal RNA (301 nucleotides) under uncultured bacterium. RNAcentral describes it as "partial 16S ribosomal RNA". It matches the Rfam family "Bacterial small subunit ribosomal RNA", at positions 509 to 807 of the family's 1533-position model. The record is from RNAcentral.